RNAcentral lists this ribosomal RNA (263 nucleotides) under uncultured bacterium. Its description in RNAcentral is "partial 16S ribosomal RNA". It matches the Rfam family "Bacterial small subunit ribosomal RNA", at positions 95 to 354 of the family's 1533-position model. The record is from RNAcentral.
CCGGCGCACGGGUGAGUAACACGUAUGCAACCUGGCCGUCACAGGUGGAUAACCGGAAGAAAUUCCGACUAAUACAGCAUAACACUCCUGAGGGACAUCCUUCGGGAGCAAAGGAGGCAACUCCGGUGACGGAUGGGCAUGCGGCGCAUUAGGUAGUUGGUAGGGUAACGGCCUACCAAGCCGACGAUGCGUAGGGGUUCUGAGAGGAAGGUCCCCCCACAUUGGAACUGAGACACGGUCCAAACUCCUACGGGAGGCAGCAG